AAUGGCCUCCAUUUCCAGAAGCGAACACAAAAAUCGACCCAAGACCAUUUCGGCCAUUAAGGACACCGUUCAUCAACGCACGACGAGUAGCCGUAUUAGGAGCAUCCAUUGCUCUUCCAUCAUCUGCAGGGCCCCAGGAACAUGAAUAUAUAUGAUUUGUUUGAAAGCCAUAAUUCAGUGCUUCCGAUUCAACAGCAUCAGUAAUAGGGGCCGAAAGAAUACGAAGUCCAGCGACCUUGGCGCGUGGAGCUAUGCCUACGCCACAAACGUCGUUCCAAGCUGCAGCCACUUCUCCAGCACAACGGGUGCCGUGCUGAUCAUCUGAUAACUUUGGCAAAGGGUCAGCAAUGUUAUCAUUGAAGUCCCAAGAACCAAGCGAAGUGUAAGCAGCUUGCAAAUCUGGAUGUUUAAAAUCAAUUCCAUCGUCUACAAAUGCAACGGUAACAUUCUCACCGAAGUAACCGGCGUCCCAGACUUCACGUAGAUUCAGAUCGUGUCCAGGAUUAUUCGAGUUGAAUAUGUGCCAUUGGCCAUAAAAGAGAGGAUCCGAAAUUCCAAAAUGAUUAGAGAACUCAUUCAGUAAUUCAUCAGAUUCACUCGCAUCCCGCUUGUAGCGCCAUCUGGGCGUCUGGCGCUCCAAUUCCAAGAUUCCGGCAUCAAUGCCUCGUUUUCGAAUUGAACUUUGGACUGAAUCAUCGCUCCCCUUAUGUAGCUUAAUUAAAUGGUGAUACUUCAAAUUUAAUAAAGGGCGCACAUACUUAGCACCAAUGGCUUCUGCUGCUACUACAGGAUCAACUUCAGGUUCCACUUGAACUAGAAAUAAAUCAUCGUUUUCUAAUGGAGAGCAAGAAGAAACCAAAAACUGUAAAAAUAUUGCAAGAAUUGGCCCACAUAGCAAAGCAGGAUGCAUGGUGCUGGGACGGUGUAUGCACUAGGUGGCUUAACAGAUUAUGGUGUCCACUGUACCAUAGUGGUGGCUAUGUACAAUAAAACAGCCAUUCGACUAAAACACAUAUAAAGUGUAAAGCUGUCAGUAUUUAAACUUUUCCAAUUAAGAAAUACAUGGCAAAAGUGAGCAAUUGCUAAACCGUGUGUCUACUAUAAUACCAUGUUAUAUAUUACAU
Molecule: non-coding RNA, 1124 nt
Organism: Schizosaccharomyces pombe (fission yeast)
Lineage: Eukaryota; Fungi; Ascomycota; Schizosaccharomycetes; Schizosaccharomycetales; Schizosaccharomycetaceae
Source: the annotation of a GenBank genome assembly